RNAcentral lists this long non-coding RNA (385 nucleotides) under Physcomitrium patens. RNAcentral's name for it is "long non-coding RNA (PPAT_LNC001354)". Lineage: Eukaryota; Viridiplantae; Streptophyta; Bryopsida; Funariales; Funariaceae. The record is from RNAcentral.
UAAGCUUGGUGCUACCUCUUUUCUUUUGUUUGUUAUUUUCUUUGAAUAAGAGGAUUGAAAGUUUUUGGAUAUUGUGAAGUGAAUUAUGGAAAUGUGAUUAGUAUUAUUUGAGAAGAAGAAAGAUUGAAUGCUGAAAUCUGAUUGUAGUUCAGCAUAGAGAAUGAGUCUAUGUUUGUGUGAAACAUUGUAAUGUGAAUGGCAGUUCUAUGUGAAGAAUUCCAGAGAUUGGAACAAGGGUAAUUAUGUACUGAAAGCUGUGAAGGCACAAUAUUACAGUUGGAGAUUAUGAGGGUGAAUAUAUUGGUGGAAAUAGCAGUUAUUAGUAUGACUGAAUUGCUGUAAGGAAGAGAUCGAUAAAGUGAAGGAAGAGAUUAUAGUUUCCUUC